This is a non-coding RNA of Myotis brandtii (Brandt's bat), 74 nucleotides long. The record is from Rfam. Lineage: Eukaryota; Metazoa; Chordata; Mammalia; Chiroptera; Vespertilionidae.
GGUGUUUUUUGGAUGACACACCCUGAAUCAGGCCCCCUCCUCUCUGGUUCCAGGUGUGUCACCCAAAAACCGCA